Anas platyrhynchos (mallard) is the source of this 166-nucleotide non-coding RNA. The record is from RefSeq and is a predicted model, not a curated record. Lineage: Eukaryota; Metazoa; Chordata; Aves; Anseriformes; Anatidae.
GGAUUUGAGAAGAGGUUGCAGACGAUCAAGGAGCGACACGUGCAGGGAUGGCUUGAAAAGGGUGAUUAGCUUCAGGUUCCAGGUGGGACCUAGUGGUAACUGAGUUGCAGGUAUUCCAUGACAGAGCUCCUUCUGCCUGGGCUGCUUUUUGGGGUAAGCGCUUUGU